RNAcentral lists this long non-coding RNA (1079 nucleotides) under Salmo salar (Atlantic salmon). Its description in RNAcentral is "lncRNA (ENSSSAG00000120520.1)". The record is from RNAcentral. Lineage: Eukaryota; Metazoa; Chordata; Actinopteri; Salmoniformes; Salmonidae.
UUCCGACCCAAGUGAGCAGGCGAAGAGAGAGGUGGAGGGAGACGUGUUCCAAGGAGCUCCGGUCCAACUCACUAAGGAGGAGGAAUAUAAAGACCUCUUGACAUUCACCUGCCCUCUCUGUACCACUAACGUCUACAGCAACGUCUUUCAGCGAGCGCUAUGUUGGAUGCGGAGCGUCGCUGCACAGCUAUUUUCAGGUCUCUCCAGAGAUGAUGCUGCCACCACCAUGCUUCACUGUAGGGAUGGUGCCAGGUUUCCUCCAGAAGUGACGCUUGGGAUUCAGGCCUUUUGGCAAACUCCGAGUGGCCUGUCAUGUUUCUUUUACUGAGGAGUGACUUUCGUCUAGCCACACUACCAUAAAGGCUUGAUUGGUGGAGUGUUGCAGAGAUGGUUGUCCUUCUGGAAGGUUCUCCCAUCUCCACAGAGGAACUCUGGGGUUCUGUCAGAGUGAACACCGGGUUCUUGGUUACCUCCCUGACCAAGGCCCUUCUCCCCCAGUUGCUCAGUUUGCACGUGCGGCCAGCUCCAGGAAGAGUGAUUAGAAUGGCCACUGUGUUUUUGGGGACCUUCAAUGCUGCAGACAUUUUUUGGUACCCUUCCAAAGAUCUGUGCCCCGACACAAUCCUGUCUCUGUGCUCUACGAACAAGUCCUUCGACCUCAUGGCUUUGUUUUUGCUCUGACAUGCGCUGUCUACUGUGGGACCUUAUAUAGACAGGUGUGUGCCUUUCCAAAUCAUGUCCAAUCAAAUUAAUUUAUCACAGGUUGUAGAAACAUCUCAAGGAUGAUUAAUGGAAACAGGAUGCACCUGAGCUCAAUUUCGAGUCUCAUUGCCAAGGGUGCGAAUAAUUAUGUAAAUAAGGUAUUUCUGUUUAUUAUGUUUAUACAUUAGUAAACAUUUCUAAAAAACCUGUUUUUGCUUUGUCAUUAUGGUGUAUCGUGUGUAGACUGAUGAAACAUUUUUAUUGAAUCCAUUUUAGAAUAAGGCUGUAACAUAACAAUGUGGGAAAAGUAAAGGGGUCUGAAUACUUUCUGAAUGCACUGUACCAUAUGUCUUGAACUGUUGCUAGUGAAGUGCAAC